This 433-nucleotide ribosomal RNA is filed under the name uncultured bacterium. RNAcentral describes it as "bacterial SSU rRNA". It matches the Rfam family "Bacterial small subunit ribosomal RNA", at positions 354 to 796 of the family's 1533-position model. The record is from RNAcentral.
GUGGGGAAUUUUUCGCAAUGGGGGCAACCCUGACGAAGCAACGCCGCGUGGAUGAUGAAGUAUCUCGGUACGUAAAAUCCUUUCGACAGGGAAGAAACCGCAAGGUUGACGGUACCUGUAGAAGAAGCCCCGGCUAACUCCGUGCCAGCAGCCGCGGUAAUACGGGGGGGGCUAGCGUUGUUCGGAAUUACUGGGCGUAAAGGGCGCGUAGGCGGUCUGCUAAGUUGGAUGUGAAAACUCUGGGCUUAACCCAGAGCCUGCAUUCAAUACUGACAGGCUAGAGUUCUGGAGGGGAUAGCGGAAUUCCUGGUGUAGCGGUGAAAUGCGUAGAUAUCAGGAGGAACACCGGUGGCGAAGGCGGCUAUCUGGACAGAGUCUGACGCUGAGGCGCGAAAGCUAGGGGAGCAAACAGGAUUAGAAACCCCGGUAGUCC